RNAcentral lists this ribosomal RNA (309 nucleotides) under uncultured bacterium. RNAcentral's name for it is "partial 16S ribosomal RNA". It matches the Rfam family "Bacterial small subunit ribosomal RNA", at positions 504 to 807 of the family's 1533-position model. The record is from RNAcentral.
AGAGACAGCAGCCGCCGCGGUAAUACAGAGGAUGCAAGCGUUAUCCGGAAUGAUUGGGCGUAAAGCGUCUGUAGGUGGCUUUUCAAGUCCGCCGUCAAAUCCCAGGGCUCAACCCUGGACAGGCGGUGGAAACUACCAAGCUGGAGUACGGUAGGGGCAGAGGGAAUUUCCGGUGGAGCGGUGAAAUGCGUUGAUAUAUGGAGGAACACCGGUGGCGAAAGCGGCUCUCUGGCUUGUAACUGACGCUGAGGCUCGAAAGCGUGGGGCGCAAACAGGAUUAGAUACCCCCGUAGUCCCUGUCUCUUAUAC